Molecule: ribosomal RNA, 305 nt
Filed under: uncultured bacterium
Lineage: Bacteria
Description: bacterial SSU rRNA
Rfam family: Bacterial small subunit ribosomal RNA
Source: RNAcentral
UUGCCUACGGGGGGCAGCAGUGGGGAAUAUUGCACAAUGGGGGAAACCCUGAUGCAGCAACGCCGCGUGAGUGAAGAAGUCAUUCGUGAUGUAAAGCUCUAUCAGCAGGGAAGAAAAUGACGGUACCUGAGUAAGAAGCCCCGGCUAACUACGUGCCAGCAGCCGCGGUAAUACGUAGGGGGCAAGCGUUAUCCGGAUUUACUGGGUGUAAAGGGAGCGCAGGCGGCCUGCCAAGUCUGGUGUGAAAACCCGGGGCCCAACCCCGGGCCUGCAUUGGAAACUGGCGGGCUGGAGUGUCGGAGGGG